This 465-nucleotide ribosomal RNA is filed under the name Vreelandella stevensii. RNAcentral's name for it is "partial 16S ribosomal RNA". It matches the Rfam family "Bacterial small subunit ribosomal RNA", at positions 338 to 795 of the family's 1533-position model. Lineage: Bacteria; Pseudomonadati; Pseudomonadota; Gammaproteobacteria; Oceanospirillales; Halomonadaceae. The record is from RNAcentral.
CCUACGGGAGGCAGCAGUGGGGAAUAUUGGACAAUGGGGGGAACCCUGAUCCAGCCAUGCCGCGUGUGUGAAGAAGGCCCUCGGGUUGUAAAGCACUUUCAGUGAGGAAGAACGCCUGGUGGUUAAUACCCAUCAGGAAAGACAUCACUCACAGAAGAAGCACCGCCUAACUCCGUGCCAGCAGCCGCGGUAAUACGGAGGGUGCGAGCGUUAAUCGGAAUUACUGGGCGUAAAGCGCGCGUAGGUGGCUUGAUAAGCCGGUUGUGAAAGCCCCGGGCUCAACCUGGGAACGGCAUCCGGAACUGUCAAGCUAGAGUGCAGGAGAGGAAGGUAGAAUUCCCGGUGUAGCGGUGAAAUGCGUAGAGAUCGGGAGGAAUACCAGUGGCGAAGGCGGCCUUCUGGACUGACACUGACACUGAGGUGCGAAAGCGUGGGUAGCAAACAGGAUUAGAUACCCGGGUAGUC